This is a long non-coding RNA of Heterocephalus glaber (naked mole-rat), 1974 nucleotides long. The record is from Ensembl. Lineage: Eukaryota; Metazoa; Chordata; Mammalia; Rodentia; Bathyergidae.
UGCUGGGACUUAAAUGAAACAUUGAUGGCUUACCAGGAAGUUAUUUUUGUACCCCUAUCCUUUGAAGAUACUUCACAAGAGAGAGGCCUUGUUUUCUGUUUACAAGAAAAUAAGGAAGUGAACACAACUCCACCUUUUGGGUAAAGAUUCUCCCUUUCUCACCCAAAAGGCUUAGCCAACUUCUUUGAUGCAUGCACAAGAUGAGUGUUUGAGAGAAUAUUUAAUGUGACGUGUUUACUUGGUGCUUCAAUUUGUCUUGCACAUUGAUCUCAUAAUGAUGCUCAAGAAAGAGAUGAACUGCUAGUCAAAGCAUGUGAAAAUGCAGUUUCAACAUGCAACAAUGCAAUCCCUGUUGCUCACGAUAUGAAAUGCGGACACCCCAGCCAGUGAGAUGUGAAUUCAAAGUUAGCUGCCCUCACACAGCUGCUCAGUUUAAUAAUCGACCCAUUUGACAGCAGUACCAGUUUAUGCUACAUAUUUCAAAGUACCUUACUUUAAAAGAACAGCUUACAUAUCUACAUUUAGAAAAUAAUUUUUGUAUUUUGAUUACGGGAGUACUUCCAAAAGGGUUCUUGGAGUGCUAUGGUUAUUGUCCCCUCACUCCCCCCUCCCAGCCCCUGAGAGAUCCAGAAAUUUACAGGAAAAAUAACUCUCACAUUAAGGGAAAAAUGACAACCCCUCCAUUAACUAAAAUAUUUGGAAAUAAUGUUUGAAAAUCACGUUUAUGUCAAUAUCUAGGUGAUAUGGUUUGUUUUCCUUCAAAAGGGCUACAGGCCUGGGGGAAACCUCUACAUAUCGGGGAUAAAAAUAGUAAUAAAGGCAAAGUGGUUUGGACAAGUUAAAGUAUUGCCUGCAGUUACAAAGCUUUGUUGUUCUAUCUUUGUAUAUUUGUACAAAUAUAACCAUUCAUGAUAUGGGAGAAACUCACUGGAGCAUUAAAAGAAAAAUAUCCUUCAAGAGGGCAAGUAGAGAAAGAAUGGCAUUGUAUUAGAUAACAUAUUUUCAUGAGAGCAAAAUUUCACUCAUAAAUUUGUUAAAUGGAUGUACAAUCCUGAAAAAGAAGUUGAAGGGGGUUCUCAAAGCUGACUAGCUUUUACUGGUAUGAUAAGACUCCUCAUUUGGAAAAAAAAUACAGCAGCUAUAAAAUAUUUUCAAUCAGGAAUAAAAUAAGAUGAAUAAAGUAAAUAAGUUAAUUUGCAGGCAAAAACUAACUCCUUGGUUAUGGACAUAGUUUGCAUGGAAAGACUACAUCCAAGACCUAGAAGAAUAUGUGCACACAUGUAUGAGUUUCAAGAUUCAUCACAGGGCUACCUCCUCUCAAAUUCCUACAGAGGACAUAUAUGAGACUCAGUCUUCAUGGGGAAACAACUGAAAGUAUUCUCUGUGCAAUAAUUUAUCUGAGAAGUUACGUAAACAAUAUCCAAAUUGACAGGAUCUUUUGUGGAAAAAUCAGGCAUUCAAGGAUAAAAUCCAAGUCAGUAUAUCGCAGAGUAGGAUGUGGGACCACAGGGAUCCACUAUGGCUUAAGAGAGGGAUGAUGCCAGGAGAGCCACUUUGAAUUAUGGUGGUAGAAAAUGAAAAGAAUGGAGAGUAUUGUGCCAAUGAGAAUUUAAAAAGUGAGGGUGCUAUUUUCCUCUAAAUUUUAGAGAGAAAUAAAGGUUUCUGUGAUUCUUAACAAGGUAUCCCUUGCAGAGCUGACUGCCAAAGUAGUGUUUUCCACAGGAGGCAAGUGAAUACCCCAUGAAAUUGGGGCUUAAAAUGUUUUCACCGUGUGACUCUAGAAGCUGUUCCUUCUACCCAAAGUAUCCCCUUACUGGAAAUGAAACAAGGCAGGGGUCUGGAAAAGUGAUACAUUCUACAUUUUUUCCAGUCUACAAAUUCAUUGGUAAUUGAACAGAACAUUUGGAAUUUCUACUGUUUUAGAGAUCUUUAUUUUAUUCAAAGGAAGAAAGCAGCCCAUGGUGUUAGAAGAGC